Molecule: long non-coding RNA, 435 nt
Filed under: Zonotrichia albicollis (white-throated sparrow)
Lineage: Eukaryota; Metazoa; Chordata; Aves; Passeriformes; Passerellidae
Description: lncRNA (ENSZALG00000017841.1)
Source: RNAcentral
GAAUCAGGUACCUUCAACAUUAUGUGACUGCAGAGUGUGCUCUGAGGCAGCUGAAACAAUAUUUGAAGGAAGAAUGUGAAAACAUUUUGGGCCACUGGGUAUCAGGCAGCAGGGUUGCUGUGCUAAUGAAAAUUUGGAACACCAUUGCAAACUGAAGUGUUUGACAGCAGCAGGAAUUUUUCUGUGCUGUUUAUGAGGUAUAUAAAAAGUUGCAGAUGGCUUCAAAUCACUAUCACCUUUUUGCAGCUGGACCUAUCACAUAUGCAGCUGAUCGUUGUAGGUCCUUUCCUACUGAAGUAUUCUAUCUUCUGUCUCCAUGGAGGAAAACUGAUGAAAAAGGGAAAACCUUUGAAAAACUCUUCAGUUCCAGCUCUAUUUCUAUUGUCUAUCAACAUAUUGCAAGCAGGAAAAAAAUGAAACAUCAGGAGCUAAAAC